This 497-nucleotide ribosomal RNA is filed under the name uncultured bacterium. Its description in RNAcentral is "partial 16S ribosomal RNA". It matches the Rfam family "Bacterial small subunit ribosomal RNA", at positions 899 to 1397 of the family's 1533-position model. The record is from RNAcentral.
ACUCAAAGGAAUAGACGGGGGCCCGCACAAGCGGUGGAGCAUGUGGUUUAAUUCGAUGCAACGCGAAGAACCUUACCUACCCUUGACAUGUCAAGAAGCCUGGUUAAGCGCUGGGCGUGCCGAAAGGAACUUGAACACAGGUGCUGCAUGGCUGUCGUCAGCUCGUGUCGUGAGAUGUUGGGUUAAGUCCCGUAACGAGCGCAACCCUUGUCCUUCGUUGCCACCCGAAAGGGGGAACUCGAAGGAGACUGCCGAUGAUAAAUCGGAGGAAGGUGGGGAUGACGUCAAGUCAUCAUGGCCUUUAUGGGUAGGGCUACACACGUGCUACAAUGGGCGUUACAGAGGGUCGCGAACCUGUGAAGGGGAGCCAAUCUUAAAAAAGCGCUCGUAGUCCGGAUCGGAGUCUGCAACUCGACUCCGUGAAGUCGGAAUCGCUAGUAAUCGCGAAUCAGAAUGUCGCGGUGAAUACGUUCCCGGGCCUUGUACACACCGCCCGU